Molecule: ribosomal RNA, 301 nt
Filed under: uncultured bacterium
Lineage: Bacteria
Description: partial 16S ribosomal RNA
Rfam family: Bacterial small subunit ribosomal RNA
Source: RNAcentral
CAGCAGCCGCGGGAAUACGGAAGGUCCAGGCGUUAUCCGGAUUUAUUGGGUUUAAAGGGAGUGUAGGCGGUCUGUUAAGCGUGUUGUGAAAUUUAGGUGCUCAACAUUUAACUUGCAGCGCGAACUGGCGGACUUGAGUGCACGCAACGUAUGCGGAAUUCAUGGUGUAGCGGUGAAAUGCUUAGAUAUCAUGACGAACUCCGAUUGCGAGGGCAGCGUACGGGAGUGUUACUGACGCUUAAGCUCGAAGGUGCGGGUAUCGAACAGGAUUAGAUACCCGGGUAGUCCCUGUCUCUUAUAC